AUACGGAGGGUGCAAGCGUUAUUCGGAAUCACUGGGCGUAAAGGACGCGUAGGCGGGUUGGCAAGUCAGAUGUGAAAUCCUACAGCUUAACUGUAGAACUGCAUUUGAAACUGCUAACCUAGAGUAUGGGAGGGGGAGAUGGAAUUAGUGGUGUAGGGGUAAAAUCCGUAGAUAUCACUAGGAAUACCGAAAGCGAAGGCGAUCUCCUGGAACAUAACUGACGCUAAGGCGUGAAAGCGUGGGGAGCAAACAGGAUUAGGAACCCUAGUAGUCC
RNAcentral lists this ribosomal RNA (274 nucleotides) under uncultured bacterium. RNAcentral describes it as "partial 16S ribosomal RNA". It matches the Rfam family "Bacterial small subunit ribosomal RNA", at positions 523 to 796 of the family's 1533-position model. The record is from RNAcentral.